AUGAGAACCCAUAGGAUGACAUGGGAGAUCAGAUAGUCAGCUUAUUAGUACUUAUUUUUUUCAUUGUCUUAAUGAAUUGGAUGGGUAUCCCCUCCUUAUUUCACAGAAGGGAAAAAAAUACAAAAAAAACAAAGCCUAAUACCUGUUCUCUCCACCCAAAGAGAUAAGACUAUAUAAGCAAAAGGACAUGACCAGUUGAAUAUUUAGUUUCAAGUAG
Molecule: long non-coding RNA, 217 nt
Filed under: Elaeis guineensis (African oil palm)
Lineage: Eukaryota; Viridiplantae; Streptophyta; Magnoliopsida; Arecales; Arecaceae
Description: long non-coding RNA (EGUI_LNC020595)
Source: RNAcentral